Molecule: ribosomal RNA, 468 nt
Filed under: uncultured bacterium
Lineage: Bacteria
Description: partial 16S ribosomal RNA
Rfam family: Bacterial small subunit ribosomal RNA
Source: RNAcentral
GACGAACGCUGGCGGCGUGCUUAACACAUGCAAGUCGAACGGAAAGGCCCUGCUUUUGUGUUGUGCUCGAGUGGCGAAAGGGUGAGUAACACGUGAGUAACCUGCCCUUGACUUUGGGAUAACUUCAGGAAACUGGGGCUAAUACCGGAUAGGAGCUCCUGCUGCAUGGUGGGGUUUGGAAAGUUUCGGCGGUUGGGGAUGGACUUGCGGCUUAUCAGCUUGUUGGUGGGGUAGUGGCUUACCAAGGCUUUGGCGGGUAGCCGGCCUGAGAGGGUGACCGGCCACAUUGGGACUGAGAUACGGCCCAGACUCCUACGGGAGGCAGCAGUGGGGAAUAUUGCACAAUGGGCGGAAGCCUGAUGCAGCAACGCCGCGUGCGGGAUGACGGCCUUCGGGUUGUAAACCGCUUUCGCCUGUGACGAAGCGUGAGUGACGGUAAUGGGUAAAGAAGCACCGGCUAACUACGUG